Molecule: transfer RNA, 72 nt
Filed under: Bos taurus (domestic cattle)
Lineage: Eukaryota; Metazoa; Chordata; Mammalia; Artiodactyla; Bovidae
Also listed under: 3 other names
Rfam family: tRNA
About the family: Transfer RNA (tRNA) molecules are approximately 80 nucleotides in length. Their secondary structure includes four short double-helical elements and three loops (D, anti-codon, and T loops).
Source: Rfam by way of RNAcentral
UUCCAGGUGGCUCAGUGGUAAAGAACCUGCCUGCCAUGCAGGAGACUCCGGUUCAAUCUCUGGGUCGGGAAG